Molecule: ribosomal RNA, 641 nt
Filed under: Staphylococcus sp. W081
Lineage: Bacteria; Bacillati; Bacillota; Bacilli; Caryophanales; Staphylococcaceae
Description: SSU rRNA
Rfam family: Bacterial small subunit ribosomal RNA
Source: RNAcentral
GACGCUGGCGGCGUGCCUAAUACAUGCAAGUCGAGCGAACAGAUAAGGAGCUUGCUCCUUUGACGUUAGCGGCGGACGGGUGAGUAACACGUGGAUAACCUACCUAUAAGACUGGGAUAACUUCGGGAAACCGGAGCUAAUACCGGAUAAGAUUUUGAACCGCAUGGUUCAAUAGUGAAAGACGGCCUUGCUGUCACUUAUAGAUGGAUCCGCGCCGUAUUAGCUAGUUGGUAAGGUAACGGCUUACCAAGGCAACGAUACGUAGCCGACCUGAGAGGGUGAUCGGCCACACUGGAACUGAGACACGGUCCAGACUCCUACGGGAGGCAGCAGUAGGGAAUCUUCCGCAAUGGGCGAAAGCCUGACGGAGCAACGCCGCGUGAGUGAUGAAGGUCUUCGGAUCGUAAAACUCUGUUAUCAGGGAAGAACAAACGUGUAAGUAACUGUGCACGUCUUGACGGUACCUGAUCAGAAAGCCACGGCUAACUACGUGCCAGCAGCCGCGGUAAUACGUAGGUGGCAAGCGUUAUCCGGAAUUAUUGGGCGUAAAGCGCGCGUAGGCGGUUUUUUAAGUCUGAUGUGAAAGCCCACGGCUCAACCGUGGAGGGUCAUUGGAAACUGGAAAACUUGAGUGCAGAAGA